Molecule: ribosomal RNA, 253 nt
Filed under: uncultured bacterium
Lineage: Bacteria
Description: partial 16S ribosomal RNA
Rfam family: Bacterial small subunit ribosomal RNA
Source: RNAcentral
UACGUAGGGGGCAAGCGUUGUCCGGAUUUAUUGGGCGUAAAGAGCUCGUAGGCGGCUCGAAAAGUCGGCGGUGAAAACUCGGGACUCAACUCCGAGGCGCCCGUCGAUACUGUCGAGCUUGAGUCCGGUAGGGGAGUGUGGAAUUCCUGGUGUAGCGGUGAAAUGCGCAGAUAUCAGGAGGAACACCGAUGGCGAAGGCAGCACUCUGGGCCGGCACUGACGCUGAGGAGCGAAAGCCAGGGGAGCGAACGGG